Molecule: long non-coding RNA, 1411 nt
Organism: Cyprinus carpio (common carp)
Lineage: Eukaryota; Metazoa; Chordata; Actinopteri; Cypriniformes; Cyprinidae
Source: Ensembl
AAGGGGGACGUCUGGCUGACUUAGGUGAACAAACAUACAGUGGUGUAUGGGAGCUGAACACGCAGCAACAUCACUGUGUGGGAGUGAUCUGGGGUCAGUUUGGGCCAACGGAUGAAAGCAAGGGACUUAAGCUGUUAGAAAACCUACCAUCCGACCACUGCAGCGAAACUACAAGACCAACUCGACAAGAGGAAACACAGGCUGUGGAACGGAGAGGAGAAGUUCUUCCAUGCUGUAGUUCUGGUGCUUGGGGUCAGCCUUCUUCAAAUUGAAGUCCAAAUCAGGAGAUAUGAACUGAACGCUACUAAGGUGGUAAGGGAAGGCGUCAAGAAGGAACUACGAGGGCUGAGGCUCACUGCACAGCAAGACCGACUUGUCCUGGAUCAACUGCAUGUGUAUGUAUAUUCCUGAUAACGAUGCUGAUGGCCACGUGAUAGAUGUGGGUAUUAAGAACAUGACUAAUGCAAUUCACAGGUUGACAGCUAUAAUCAAAUAUAAGAGUUGUUUGUUUUCUUUAUAGCUUGCUUAUAUGUUAGGAAUGACUAUAUUCCAUAAAAAAAAAAAUGCAAAUGCUUUUUUUUCGCCUUAUGAUAGUAAUGGUGUUUUAAAUCUUGAAUUUACAUGAUUGAUGUAAACUAUAAGGGUAAAGUUUUCACAAAUUUAUCUACAUUUAAUCAAUAUAAGUGAUCAAUAAUGAUCAAAAGGGAGGAGUGUUAUGGAAAUUUUUAAUAUUGUUAAUCUUGCAUUGAUUGCAUUAAUCUCAUUUAAGUAUCUUCUUAAACAUACAAUGAUCAAAGUAGUAUAUAGUCCAUAGGGACAUUGAGUUAUUUUAUGUAACUUGUGCACAUAACUGCUUUAGGUUGAAAUACAACAUUUAAGGGGAAACUGUUUACCAGGGACUGGCAGUUUUGAGAGAAACCAGACAUCUACCAUGUAAUGUGCAUGAGAAGUGCAUGUGUCAUGGGGUGAUGUGCACUGAGCAACAUGAUUGGCUCAAAGGUCCUAAUCUGUCCUUCAAUGUAUCUUUUUACAUACUAUAAAAAGUGUGUUGUGAGUCUGUGUGUUAUCUCUUUGCACACAGACUCAAGCUGUGUGUAAACCAGAUCAUUCUCUGCAGAGAAUUAAAGCAAUACAAAGACAAAACUCUGUUUGGUGUUUCAUUCUCAGUCUCUACAAAUUGUUAUUGAAUUAGAAUUUCCACAACACCUGUUUGAAAACUAUGAUUAAUUGUGAAGUUCUCUUAUUAUUAUUAUUAUUAUUAUUAUUAUUAUUAUUAUUAUUAUUAUUAUUAUUUGUUUUUUUUUGUUUUGUUUCUCAUUUUAUUACAUAGCACUAUGGCAAACAUAGCAAGAUCUGUUCAAAGUUCAGUAAUACUGAAAUAAUGUGAUUUGCUCAAUAGCCUUGAGAAAAU